GACGAACGCUGGCGGCGUGCUUAACACAUGCAAGUCGAACGGAAAGGCCCUGCUUUUGUGGGGUGCUCGAGUGGCGAACGGGUGAGUAACACGGGAGUAACCUGCCCUUGACUUUGGGAUAACUGCAGGAAACUGGGGCUAAUACCGGAUAGGAGCUCCUGCUGCAUGGUGGGGGUUGGAAAGUUUCGGCGGUUGGGGAUGGACUCGCGGCUUAUCAGCUUGUUGGUGGGGUAGUGGCUUACCAAGGCUUUGGUGGGUAGCCGGCCUGGGAGGGUGACCGGCCACAUUGGGACUGAGGUACGGCCCAGACUCCUACGGGAGGCAGCAGUGGGGAAUAUUGCACAAUGGGCGGAAGCCUGAUGCAGCAACGCCGCGUGCGGGAUGACGGCCUUCGGGUUGUAAACCGCUUUCGCCUGUGACGAAGCGUGAGUGACGGUAAUGGGUAAAGAAGCACCGGCUAACUACGUG
RNAcentral lists this ribosomal RNA (468 nucleotides) under uncultured bacterium. RNAcentral's name for it is "partial 16S ribosomal RNA". It matches the Rfam family "Bacterial small subunit ribosomal RNA", at positions 28 to 507 of the family's 1533-position model. The record is from RNAcentral.